AAUCACGUUUCUAGAAGGGGAGGUUAGAGUGCGGUUUUCUUUUUCCUUCAAUUUCUUCUAGGUCGUCACUUAUCAAUGGUCCUCGCCAUUCUUUAUCACCCUCUCUUCAUCCCUUUUUCGGCUUAGAGAAGAAACUAGGUCAUUAAAGAAGACGUGACCACCGCACCUGCACCCCGGCCUUUCUGGCAAAUCUUGGUGGUUUUAUUCACGAAUCCAACCCUUUGAGUUAGCCAUCCUCCCCCUAAUCUCUAAUCUAAUGGUUUAUGACAGAUGGUUGGAGGUUUGCAGAUUUGCAGUUUUGGUGCUUGUCGAUUUUCUUUAUGCAACGAGAGGUAAAUUAAAAGGUGUAAAUGGAGAAAUCAGAGACCGUGCCUGCAAUAAUAAGAAGGAAGCAUAUAAUUUCGGCUUAAUUGAAGAGGCUUGAACAAGAAACUCACCAUUUAGAGUUUUGAAAGCAACGGACUGAACAGGUUGGAGCUACAAAGACUAAUCUCUUACGAUUUUGGAUGCUAAAUUACUGUAAUGACAUGCGCGGUUUUGUUUCCGCCCAUGAUGUCCACAACUCAAGCUUACUGGUGGUUAGCAGGUCGGCAAAUAACUACCCACUCUCCCCUCGGUGUCCGUGUAAUCCUCGCAUAAUGGAAGAGGUUUUCUGGUUCUCUAUCCUUAUCAACAUGUAACUCACAUUCAUACACGUUUCACUCAUCUUUCUCUGUCAUCUGAAACCCACCAGAACACCAUGUGCGUAGACCCUCUGACGAUACCACUAUGAACCACUCAUGUCUCUUCGGGAAUCACCCCACCAUUUAUUUGAACAUAUUUGUUAACUCAACGUCAGCCAUCGCCAUUGGGUCCAGCAACCAUAAUUAAUCAGUGUAGCAUCGUUGCUGCCUCACUGUUUUCCUGUUCAACUACUUAGGAUUGCUUAAAGAGGGAAAAAGAUAAAGCAUCUUAGAGGUUUCUAUACCCACGUAUUUGGAAGAUGUUUUGACUUAGAAAUAUCAGACCAUCACUAAUGACUUCCAACCCGUAAGGUGCAGUUGCAUCAUCUGUAAGCUGAGGUGGCAUCCUGGUCCAGCCACAUUCCAUGUUGACUUGAUGACGUGGCUAGCAACAUUCAUGACUAAAACUAUUAAAUUUUCUGACAUUAGGCUACUAGAAACUAAUUGGCUUUUCUGGCGUUUAAGGCUUAAUGGCAAAUUAUGUUUUUAUGCUAAUCACUUCUAUAACAAAGGUGCACUUCUAGCAAGAUUAACACCAAUGACAAAGGCGACACGAUAUUCGGCUCUCACAAACUUGUGACAUCGAUACACGUAAACGGGAGAUGCAAGAGUUUACCGAAGUCACAAAUUCGAGGAUGAUGUGGUUGAAUUUUCCUUCACUUUUCAUACAGGUA
Long non-coding RNA from Helianthus annuus (common sunflower), 1396 nucleotides. RefSeq lists it as uncharacterized. The transcript has 6 exons. The record is from RefSeq and is a predicted model, not a curated record. NCBI's taxonomy places the organism in Eukaryota, Viridiplantae, Streptophyta, Magnoliopsida, Asterales, Asteraceae.